Molecule: long non-coding RNA, 987 nt
Organism: Anopheles funestus (African malaria mosquito)
Lineage: Eukaryota; Metazoa; Arthropoda; Insecta; Diptera; Culicidae
Exons: 3
Source: RefSeq, a predicted model, not a curated record
AUGUGUCUUGGCUAAUGUGUCUCGGCUAAUGUGUCUCGGCUAAUGUGUCUUGGCUAAGGUGUCUUGGCUAAGGUGUCUUGGCUAAUGUGUCUCGGCUUAUGUGUUUCGGCUAAUGUGUCUUGGCUAAUGGGUCUUGGCUAAUGUGUCUUGGCUAAUGUGUCUCGGCUAAUGUGUCUCGGCUAAUGUGUCUUGGCUAAGGUGUCUCGGCUAAUGUGUCUUGGCUAAUGUGUCUUGGCUAAUGUGUCUUGGCUAAGGUGUCUUGGCUAAUGUAUCUUGGCUAAUGUGUCUUGGCUAAUGUGUCUUGGCUAAUGUGUCUUGGCUAAUGUGUCUCGGCUAAUGUGUCUUGGCUAAUGUGUCUUGGCUAAUGUGUCUUGGCUAAGGUGUCUUGGCUAAUGUGUCUCGGCUAAUGUGUCUCGGCUAAUGUGUCUUGGCUAAGGUGUCUUGGCUAAUGUGUCUUGGCUAAUGUGUCUUGGCUAAUGUGUCUUGGCUAAGGUGUCUUGGCAAAUGUGUCUUGGCUAAUGUGUCUUGGCUAAUGUGUCUUGGCUAAUGUGUCAUGGCUAAGGUGUCUUAACUAAUGUGUCUCGGCUAAUGUGUCUUGGCUAGUGUGUCUUGGCUAAUGUGUCUUGGCUAAGGUGUCUUGGCUAAUGUGUCUUGGCUAAUGUGUCUUGGCUAAUGUGUCUUGGCUAAGGUGUCUUAACUAAUGUGUCUCGGCUAAUGUGUCUUGGCUAGUGUGUCUUGGCUAAUGUGUCUUGGCUAAGGUGUCUUGGCUAAUGUGUCUUGGCUAAUGUGUCUUGGCUAAUGUGUCUUGGCUAAGGUGUCUUAACUAAUGUGUCUCGGCUAAUGUGUCUUGGCUAGUGUGUCUUGGCUAAUGUGUCUUGGCUAAGGUGUCUUGGCUAAUGUGUCUUGGCUAAUGUGUCUUGGCUAAGGUGUCUUGGCUAAUGUGUCUUGGCUAAUGUGUCUCGGCUAAUGUGUCUCGGCUAAUGUGUC